GAGAAAGGGCUUAAGACCCUGAAAAAAAAAAUUUAUAGGAAAAUUUCCCCAAAAGGUAAGCACAAUAAAAAGUCAAAAGGAGGUACGGGCUGAAGAAUGACUUCCUGCAAUGUGUAAUUUCAAGAAUUAGAGUUUGUCAAAGGUGUUAAAAAUAAAAUGAGUGUGAAUGUCCUACAAGGUUUAUGAGAAAGUUCAGAAGGAAAGUAAAGAAAGACUAAGCAGCAAGACUUUUAGUAUUCCUGUAUCCUGGAGAAGGCAGCACUCGAGCCACCAUCUUGGAAGUGAAGAUCAGGCCCUCAGCAGACACAAAACCUGCCAGUGCCAUGAUCUUGGAUUUUUCAACCUGCAGGACUAUUCAAUGAAAUUCCAAUGAAAAUCUCAAGUUAUUAUGUGAAUAUUGAAAAACGAACCCUAAAGUUUAUAUGGAGAGCCAAAAAAUGCAAAAGAGCCAGCACAUAUUGAAAGAGAAGAACAAAGUCAGAAGAU
This 486-nucleotide long non-coding RNA is filed under the name Homo sapiens (human). Its description in RNAcentral is "HSALNT0319050". Lineage: Eukaryota; Metazoa; Chordata; Mammalia; Primates; Hominidae. The record is from RNAcentral.